GUAUUUCAGAAGUUGACAUUUUGAGUAAAGAACGAGAAAAAGAAGUGAAAGCCGACUACUAGUGUUUGAUUACGUAACCUCCCGAGCCAGACAGAGGCUGAAAUGAGGACCUGCAUAAAGAGCCAUAAAUAAGGAGCUUUUUGAACUGUAAUUCAUGUUCAGAUAUUCCAGUAGAGACCCAGAAUAAAAAUAUAAACCUGGAACUGUGCGUGUUAUAUCCCCUUUAAAGGAAAAUCUUACAAAAACGACUGUAAAACAUGCAGACAGACAGACCAACAACUGUCAGACAGGCAGAGGCCAACAUGGUGUUUCAUUGGCCGCUGUUAUGUUGUUUCAUCUGACUCAAACUGUCCUCCUUUAACGAGGCCUAGGCAGCACUAAUGACGAGCCGCAGCCGUAAUUAGCCUCAUCAGAAGGACUCUCAAAGUGUUUAGAUUAGCUUAAUUAGCCUGUGUGUGAGCGUGCAAGCACAGAUGCACACAUGUGUGCACAAUAACACACACACACACACACACACACACAGAGUAAUACGCAUGCACGUAAACUCUCAGUCCCUAUAGACCCGGCCUCAAGCUAUUGCACUAACGCGGCUGAGAGUUCACGAAAAGCUGCUGGUUUUAAAAGUUAAAUGCCACUGUGUAAAUAUCUUUCCAGGGGAUAUCCAGGGAAUAAUCAACUUUUAAUUUAGCUGCUAAUCUAAUUAGUCGCCACAGUGCCUGACUGCCUCCCUGAAGUGAUUUGAAGGAAAAGAAGAGAGAAAGAGAGCUGAAAAACCUACAAGGAAAUUGCUUGAAAAAUCACUAUCAGAGGUUUCUUAGAUUUUCUGUCCUGGGGAUAUCACUACAUUUGUGGAAUUACAAUAAGGGUAAAAAUCAGAGAAAGAAGGAAAAAAAGCGAUGAGAGAGGGAAGAUUUUGAAGACUUUUGCCUGCAGAAGUGCGUCUCCCUCCCUUGUUAACUACAGCAAAGUUGAUGCAAUAGCAUAUUAAGUCAGUCGAUGGACUUUAUCAAUGCCAGGAUCCAUUAAUAGACAACAGCCUGCAGCACAAAGCUGCACUGCGGAAAAGGCUUCACACUUAGAAUUGGUACGAGUUGAUGUGUUUGUGUUUCUAUGAUUUCCAGAAUGAGAAACAAGAAAAAUGUGUGACAUUGAUUUAUAUAUGCAGAACACUUGAAGCAAAACAGAAUUGAAUCAUAUUUACUACAUGAACAAGCUGAUUCUUUAGAACAACAUAAUUUCUGGCGCAAAGUCAUUGCAGGGUUGAUGAGCCUCAAAGCACCAGGACACACAACUGUCCUACUUUAGAAAAGCAGCAAUUUUAUCACAUUCACACUGCGCUGAUGUGUGCUGCACUUUAGACCUCUAUGAUGACUUUAGACUUCAUAAAAUUCUAAUAAACCCAACUUGGAGUAUUACUGCUUAACUGGUCGAAUAUAACUUUACGAAUACAAACUGACAUAACACGGGACACGCUUCUUUUAACUUAACGUUCCAACGUUUAAAUACUUGUCAUUAGUCCAAUGAUCAACAGGAGGUGACUCACAAGUGACUGUAGUUGAUGUUUUAAUCUUUUAAAUCAUCCAUACUUACUAAAAUACACCUGUAUUAUCAUCAUUUUACACCUAUAUUUCAUAUUUUACAAUAAACCUGGUGCACGCUGUAAUUUAACUUUAUAUAAUAAACAAAUGUUAGCUGGUUUAAUAUGAAAAGAUUGGUUGGUGCUAACUGAGUUUAGAAAACAUCUGAACUUUUAUGUAAAUGGCAAAUUUCAGCCUGAAUACAUAACCUCACAGAUAGUCACUGUUAAUGUGUUAGUGAUUAUUUGUUUUACUGUGGAGCGAGAUACAAAUUGCACCUAUAAACAAUCUUUAAUCACCAGACUCCUGCCGUCGCUCAUGAUCUUGUGCGGUUGUGAUUAAUAGGAAGCUUAGUGGAAUUAAUGACAGCACUGAUAGUAAUGAGGAAAUACAAUUAGCAUAAACCAGCUGGUGUUUUGGUGUUUCAAGGCUCCUGGAUGGCUGGUUGCUUAGGAAUGCAGAAAUCAAAGACUGAGGGUGAACAGGGGUGUGUGUGUGUGUGUGUGUGUGUGUGUGUGUGUCUGUGUGUGUGUGUGUGUGUGUGUGUGUGUGAGUGAGUGUGUGUGAGAGAAAGCAUUGGCCUUUCUCAGUGUGUGUUCAGCUCCUCAGAGGGACUCAGUGGGAAGGAGAACAGGAGCUGCUGGAAGAGACGAACGAGGGAGGGAUGAAGAGAUGAAGUAUUUCCAGCGCAGCUCACAGUGAAGAGGCCAGGGGCUUCAUUAGAGAUAUCUGGAGGCCGACCCCAUCAGCCUGGGGGCACACGGGAGGGGGGGCUGGGGUCUAUACCAAACCGAACGCCCGUCUCUCUGCUGGAGAUGGACCGGGUUCCCCUGGGCUCCCCGCGACCGACCUCCUGCUUCUUAGGAUGGGCCAGAAAAAUCAACGGCGUUCCCCUUUGAACAACCUCCUCCUCCUCCUGCUCUGUCUCUCCUUCAUGCUAUCUCUCUUUCUCCCUUCGCUCCCUUUCUCUGUGGACCUAAUGAAUGAUUCAUUUAACCCCUCCACCACCCGCCAACACCACCACCACCACCACCACCACCACCCAAUUCCUCGCCUUUUCACCCAACCACCCAUCUACCAGGCUUCCCCUCCUUAACGCUUUAUUUUCACUCUGUUCUCCUUUUUAUUGCAAGUUGGGACUUUUUUUUAAAUAAAGGGAGAAAAGUAAAAAAAAAAAAAAAGCAGCUGGUGUGGCAGCACUGUGGUGGUGGGCAUGGAAAGGAAACAACAAAGGGAGGAACAAACGCCCAUUUGUGUCACAGAUCCCUCCGUGUAUCCCAUUAAAGGCAAUGUUUGACAAAUUACUUUA
Thunnus maccoyii (southern bluefin tuna) is the source of this 2886-nucleotide long non-coding RNA. RefSeq lists it as uncharacterized. NCBI's taxonomy places the organism in Eukaryota, Metazoa, Chordata, Actinopteri, Scombriformes, Scombridae. The record is from RefSeq and is a predicted model, not a curated record. The transcript has 2 exons.